CGUAGCGAAAUGCGAUACUUGAUAAGCGGAGGAAAAGAAACUAACAAGGAUUCCCCUAGUAACGGCGAGCGAACCAGGAAAAGCCCACAAUGAGAAUCGGUCGCCUUUGGCGUUCGAAAUUAGUCUGGAGAACCGUCCUCAGUGGCGGACCGGGCCCAAGUCUCCUGGAAUGAGAGCCCCAUUGUGCCCUAACCCUGUCGUAUCACGAGGCGCUGUCUGCGAGUCGGGUUGUUUGAGAAUGCAGCCCCAAUCGGGCGGUAAAUUCCGUCCAAGGCUAAAUACUGGCGAGAGACCGAUAGCGAACAAGUUCCGCGAGAGAAAGAUGAAAAGGACUUUGAAAAGAAAGUCAAAGAGUGCUUAAAAUUGUCGAGAGGGAAGCGGAUGGGGGCCGACGAUGUGUCCAGGUCGGAUGUGGAAGGGUGUGAGCCGAUCCGCCGAUCAACUCGGCACAUUUACCGACGCGAAUUGCAAUGGUGGCCCAAGCUCGAGCUCUUGAUAUGCUCGUGGAGACGUCAUUGCUGCAAUUGUGGACGGCAGCUCGCGCGUCAUGGAGUGCUUCGGCACGUGCGAGCUCCGGGCGUCAGCCUGUGGGCUCACCAUUCGGCCCGUCUUGAAACACGG
Molecule: ribosomal RNA, 621 nt
Filed under: Phaseolus vulgaris (common bean)
Lineage: Eukaryota; Viridiplantae; Streptophyta; Magnoliopsida; Fabales; Fabaceae
Description: rRNA LSU_rRNA_eukarya
Rfam family: Eukaryotic large subunit ribosomal RNA
Source: RNAcentral